CCUACGGGUGGCAGCAGUGAGGAAUAUUGGGCAAUGGCCGGAAGGCUGAACCAGCCAUGCCGCGUGAAGGUCAGUGCCCUAUGGGCGUUAAACUUCUGUUGUGCGGGAGCAUUAAUGGUCACGUGUGGCCAGACGAGAGUACCGUACGAAUAAGCAUCGGCUAACUCCGUGCCAGCAGCCGCGGUAAUACGGGGGAUGCAAGCGUUAUCCGGAUUUAUUGGGUUUAAAGGGUGCGUAGGCUGUGAGGUAAGUCAGCGGUGAAAUGCCCCCGCUCAACGGGGUGAAGUGCCAUUGAUACUGCCUGGCUGGAGUGCGGAUGCGGUGGGAGGAAUGUGUGGUGUAGCGGUGAAAUGCAUAGAUAUCACACAGAACACCGAUUGCGAAGGCAUCUCACGAAUCCGCGAUUGACGCUGAUGCACGAAAGCGUGGGUAUCAAACAGGAUUAGAUACCCGAGUAGUC
RNAcentral lists this ribosomal RNA (460 nucleotides) under uncultured bacterium. Its description in RNAcentral is "partial 16S ribosomal RNA". It matches the Rfam family "Bacterial small subunit ribosomal RNA", at positions 338 to 795 of the family's 1533-position model. The record is from RNAcentral.